RNAcentral lists this ribosomal RNA (325 nucleotides) under uncultured eukaryote. RNAcentral describes it as "partial 18S ribosomal RNA". It matches the Rfam family "Eukaryotic small subunit ribosomal RNA", at positions 1470 to 1796 of the family's 1831-position model. The record is from RNAcentral.
CCCUUAGAUGUCCUGGGCCGCACGCGCGCUACGCUGAUGCAUUCAACGAGUAUUUCCUUGGCCGAGAGGCCUGGGCAAUCUUUUAAACCUGCAUCGUGAUAGGGAUAGAUUAUUGCAAUUAUUAAUCUUGAACGAGGAAUUCCUAGUAAACGCAAAUCAUCAAUUUGCGUUGAUUACGUCCCUGCCCUUUGUACACACCGCCCGUCGCACCUACCGAUUGAAUGGUCCGGUGAAAUCUCGGGAUUGUGGCCAGUUCACUUUAUUGGGAGUUGGCUGCGAGAACUUGCUUAAACCUUAUCAUUUAGAGGAAGGUGAAGUCGUAACA